RNAcentral lists this ribosomal RNA (1010 nucleotides) under Bacillus safensis. RNAcentral describes it as "bacterial SSU rRNA". It matches the Rfam family "Bacterial small subunit ribosomal RNA", at positions 28 to 1026 of the family's 1533-position model. Lineage: Bacteria; Bacillati; Bacillota; Bacilli; Caryophanales; Bacillaceae. The record is from RNAcentral.
GGCAAGGGCCGGCGUGCUAUACAUGCAAGUCGAGCGGACAGAAGGGAGCUUGCUCCCGGAUGUUAGCGGCGGACGGGUGAGUAACACGUGGGUAACCUGCCUGUAAGACUGGGAUAACUCCGGGAAACCGGAGCUAAUACCGGAUAGUUCCUUGAACCGCAUGGUUCAAGGAUGAAAGACGGUUUCGGCUGUCACUUACAGAUGGACCCGCGGCGCAUUAGCUAGUUGGUGGGGUAAUGGCUCACCAAGGCGACGAUGCGUAGCCGACCUGAGAGGGUGAUCGGCCACACUGGGACUGAGACACGGCCCAGACUCCUACGGGAGGCAGCAGUAGGGAAUCUUCCGCAAUGGACGAAAGUCUGACGGAGCAACGCCGCGUGAGUGAUGAAGGUUUUCGGAUCGUAAAGCUCUGUUGUUAGGGAAGAACAAGUGCGAGAGUAACUGCUCGCACCUUGACGGUACCUAACCAGAAAGCCACGGCUAACUACGUGCCAGCAGCCGCGGUAAUACGUAGGUGGCAAGCGUUGUCCGGAAUUAUUGGGCGUAAAGGGCUCGCAGGCGGUUUCUUAAGUCUGAUGUGAAAGCCCCCGGCUCAACCGGGGAGGGUCAUUGGAAACUGGGAAACUUGAGUGCAGAAGAGGAGAGUGGAAUUCCACGUGUAGCGGUGAAAUGCGUAGAGAUGUGGAGGAACACCAGUGGCGAAGGCGACUCUCUGGUCUGUAACUGACGCUGAGGAGCGAAAGCGUGGGGAGCGAACAGGAUUAGAUACCCUGGUAGUCCACGCCGUAAACGAUGAGUGCUAAGUGUUAGGGGGUUUCCGCCCCUUAGUGCUGCAGCUAACGCAUUAAGCACUCCGCCUGGGGAGUACGGUCGCAAGACUGAAACUCAAAGGAAUUGACGGGGGCCCGCACAAGCGGUGGAGCAUGUGGUUUAAUUCGAAGCAACGCGAGAACCUUACCAGGUCUUGACAUCCUCUGACAACCCUAGAGAUAGGGCUUUCCCUUCGGGGA